Molecule: long non-coding RNA, 2345 nt
Organism: Bombina bombina (fire-bellied toad)
Lineage: Eukaryota; Metazoa; Chordata; Amphibia; Anura; Bombinatoridae
Exons: 3
Source: RefSeq, a predicted model, not a curated record
GUCUCUGUGUGAUAGAGGGGUCAGACUGACAGGUCAUUGUGUGAUAGAGGGGUCAGACUGACAGGUCACUGUGUGAUAGAGGGGUCAGACUGACAGGUCUCUGUGUGAUAGAGGGUCAGACUGACAGGUCUCUGUGUGAUAGAGGGGUCAGACUGACAGGUCUCUGUGUGAUAGAGGGGUCAGACUGACAGGUCUAUGUGUGAUAGAGGGGUCAGACUGAAGGGUCAUUGUGUGAUAGAGGGGUCAGACUGACAGGUCUCUGUGUGAUAGAGGGGUCAGACUGACAGGUCUCUGUGUGAUAGAGGGGUCAGACUGACAGGUCAUUGUGUGAUAGAGGGGUCAGACUGACAGGUCUCUGUGUGAUAGAGGGGUCAGACUGACAGGUCAUUGUGUGAUAGAAGGGUCAGACUGACAGGUCAUUGUGUGAUAGAGGGGUCAGACUGACAGGUCAUUGUGUGAUAGAGGGGUCAGACUAACAGGUCUAUGUGUGAUAGAGGGGUCAGACUGAAGGGUCAUUGUGUGAUAGAGGGGUCAGACUGACAGGUCAUUGUGUGAUAGAGGGGUCAGACUGACAGGUCUCUGUGUAUUAGAGGGGUCAGACUGACAGUUCUGUGUGUGAUAGAGGGGUCAGACUGACAGGUCUAUGUGUGAUAGAGGGGUCAGACUGACAGGUCACUGUGUGAUAGAGGGGUCAGACUGACAGGCCAGUGUGUGAUAGAGGGGUCAGACUGACAGGUCUCUGUGUGAUAGAGGGUCAGACUGACAGGUCUCUGUGUGAUAGAGGGGUCAGACUGACAGGUCACUGUGUGAUAGAGGGGUCAGACUGACAGGUCUCUGUGUGAUAGAGGGUCAGACUGACAGGUCUCUGUGUGAUAGAGGGGUCAGACUGACAGGUCACUGUGUGAUAGAGGGGUCAGACUGACAGGUCUCUGUGUGAUAGAGGGUCAGACUGACAGGUCUCUGUGUGAUAGAGGGGUCAGACUGACAGGUUUAUGUGUGAUAGAGGGGUCAGACUGAAGGGUCAUUGUGUGAUAGAGGGAUCAGACUGACAGGUCAUUGUGUGAUAGAGGGGUCAGACUGACAGGUCAUUGUGUGAUAGAGGGGUCAGACUGAAGGGUCAUUGUGUGAUAGAGGGGUCAGACUGACAGGUCAGUGUGUGAUAGAGGGGUCAGACUGACAGGUCAUUGUGUGAUAGAGGGGUCAGACUGCCAGGUCUCUGUGUGAUAGAGGGGUCAGACUGACAGGUCUCUGUGUGAUAGAGGGGUCAGACUGACAGGUCUAUGUGUGAUAGAGGGGUCAGACUGAAGGGUCAUUGUGUGAUAGAGGGGUCAGACUGACAGGUCUCUGUGUGAUAGAGGGGUCAGACUGACAGGUCAUUGUGUGAUAGAAGGGUCAGACUGACAGGUCAUUGUGUGAUAGAGGGGUCAGACUGACAGGUCAUUGUGUGAUAGAGGGGUCAGACUGACAGGUCUCUGUGUAUUAGAGGGGUCAGACUGACAGGUCUAUGUGUGAUAGAGGGGUCAGACUGACAGGUCACUGUGUGAUAGAGGGGUCAGACUGACAGGCCAGUGUGUGAUAGAGGGGUCAGACUGACAGGUCUCUGUGUGAUAGAGGGGUCAGACUGACAGGUCAUUGUGUGAUAGAGGGGUCAGACUGACAGGUCACUGUGUGAUAGAGGGGUCAGACUGACAGGUCUCUGUGUGAUAGAGGGUCAGACUGACAGGUCUCUGUGUGAUAGAGGGGUCAGACUGACAGGUCUCUGUGUGAUAGAGGGGUCAGACUGACAGGUCUAUGUGUGAUAGAGGGGUCAGACUGAAGGGUCAUUGUGUGAUAGAGGGGUCAGACUGACAGGUCUCUGUGUGAUAGAGGGGUCAGACUGACAGGUCUCUGUGUGAUAGAGGGGUCAGACUGACAGGUCAUUGUGUGAUAGAGGGGUCAGACUGACAGGUCUCUGUGUGAUAGAGGGGUCAGACUGACAGGUCAUUGUGUGAUAGAAGGGUCAGACUGACAGGUCAUUGUGUGAUAGAGGGGUCAGACUGACAGGUCAUUGUGUGAUAGAGGGGUCAGACUGACAGGUCUAUGUGUGAUAGAGGGGUCAGACUGACAGGUCAUUGUGUGAUAGAGGGGUCAGACUGACAGGUCAUUGUGUGAUAGAGGGGUCAGACUGACAGGUCUCUGUGUAUUAGAGGGGUCAGACUGACAGUUCUGUGUGUGAUAGAGGGGUCAGACUGACAGGUCUAUGUGUGAUAGAGGGGUCAGACUGACAGGUCAGUGUGUGAUAGAGGGGUCAGACUGACAGGUCAGUGUGUGAUAGAGGGGUCAGACUGAAGGGUCUCUGUGUGAUA